GAUGAACGCUGGCGGCGUGCCUAAUACAUGCAAGUCGAGCGAACGGACGAGAAGCUUGCUCCUCUGAUGUUAGCGGCGGACGGGUGAGUAACACGUGGAUAACCUACCUAUAAGACUGGGAUAACUUCGGGAAACCGGAGCUAAUACCGGAUGAUAUUUUGAACCGCAUGGUUCAAAAGUGAAAGACGGUCUUGCUGUCACUUAUAGAUGGAUCCGCGCUGCAUUAGCUAGUUGGUAAGGUAACGGCUUACCAAGGCAACGAUGCAUAGCCGACCUGAGAGGGUGAUCGGCCACACUGGAACUGAGACACGGUCCAGACUCCUACGGGAGGCAGCAGUAGGGAAUCUUCCGCAAUGGGCGAAAGCCUGACGGAGCAACGCCGCGUGAGUGGUGAAGGUCUUCGGAUCGUAAAACUCUGUUAUUAGGGAAGAACAUAUGUGUAAGUAACUGUGCACAUCUUGACGGUACCUAUUCAGAAAGCCACGGCUAACUACGUG
This 497-nucleotide ribosomal RNA is filed under the name uncultured bacterium. RNAcentral's name for it is "partial 16S ribosomal RNA". It matches the Rfam family "Bacterial small subunit ribosomal RNA", at positions 28 to 507 of the family's 1533-position model. The record is from RNAcentral.